GAUUCCUACGGGAGGCAGCAGUGGGGAAUAUUGCACAAUGGGGGAAACCCUGAUGCAGCGACGCCGCGUGAAGGACGAAGUAUUUCGGUACGUAAACUUCUAUCAGCAGGGAAGAAAAUGACGGUACCUGACCAAGAAGCCCCGGCUAACUACGUGCCAGCAGCCGCGGUAAUACGUAGGGGGCAAGCGUUAUCCGGAUUUACUGGGUGUAAAGGGAGCGUAGACGGCAGCGCAAGUCUGAAGUGAAAUCCCAUGGCUUAACCAUGGAACUGCUUUGGAAACUGUGCAGCUGGAGUGCAGGAGAG
Molecule: ribosomal RNA, 305 nt
Filed under: uncultured bacterium
Lineage: Bacteria
Description: bacterial SSU rRNA
Rfam family: Bacterial small subunit ribosomal RNA
Source: RNAcentral